Molecule: ribosomal RNA, 253 nt
Filed under: uncultured bacterium
Lineage: Bacteria
Description: partial 16S ribosomal RNA
Rfam family: Bacterial small subunit ribosomal RNA
Source: RNAcentral
UACGGGGGGGGCAAGCGUUGUUCGGAAUUACUGGGCGUAAAGUGUGCGCAGGCGGCAGAGCAAGUCGAGUGUGAAAGCCCCGGGCUUAACUUGGGAAUUGCGCUCGAAACUACUUUGCUGGAGUGUGGCAGAGGAAGGUGGAAUUCCACGUGUAGCGGUGAAAUGCGUAGAGAUGUGGAGGAACACCAAUGGCGAAGGCAGCCUUCUGGGCCAACACUGACGCUCAUGCACGAAAGCGUGGGGAACAAACAGG